Molecule: long non-coding RNA, 681 nt
Organism: Triticum dicoccoides
Lineage: Eukaryota; Viridiplantae; Streptophyta; Magnoliopsida; Poales; Poaceae
Exons: 2
Source: RefSeq, a predicted model, not a curated record
AGGACGGCUUGGCGCGAGCUUCCCUGCUCUCGCGCGAAGAGGCGGCUCCGAGCAGCCGAGCGCCAUCGCCGCGGAGGGUAGCAGCGCCGCGCAGCCGUGAGUACCAGGGAGGAGCGCCCCGGCGGACUGGAGAUCUGCUGCUGCGAAGCGCCGCGACGGGCCAGGGAGGAGCGCCGCCGCAGAUUGAGGAGGGCCGCCGCCCGGACCGAGCUCCUCACGCCACCGCAGAUCGAGGAGGACCGCCGCCCCGACCGAGCUCCUUCCUCACGCCGCCCGCCUCUCCCUGACUCAGGCGCGCUAGCCCCCAGAAUUUGGGUGUUAUGUUUUUGUGAAAGUGUUGUGCAAUGGCAGAAAUUAACAAGAGGAUACCUCAAGUUGGUAUGAGAUUUAGAGAUUCAGAUGAGGCUUGGGUGUUUUGGGUAGAAUAUGGAGGUGAUAUAGGUUUUGAUGUGAGGAAAAGAUGCACCAACUUAAGCAAGUUUGAUGGAAAGGCGACGUCACGCAGAUUUGUUUGUUCCAAUGAGGGCAUUAGAAGGAAAGGGCGACGAGAAAGAUGAAGUGGAAGAGAGAGAUGAAGUUCUUAUCUCUGCUCAUGUUUAUGCAAUGGAAGGAUAUAUGAAAAAUGAUAUGAAAGACUGUUGUUUUUAUUAACUGACAGUAAAAUUGUUGCUUAUAUCAGUA